UGCAGUGUUGGAGGCCUGUCUGUCUCCUUCCUGCUCCUCUGCUGUUCCUAUGGGGGGCGCUCUGCAGGAGUGUCUGCCCUGUGAUGGGGUGUAUGAGGUUUUCAUCCGGACAUUGACUGACACCGAUUAUGACGAGCUCUCUCCGCAACCUGGAGAGGAAAGGGUGUGCUCUGACCCUUUCCCCGGGCUUGGAGAGAAAAUGACCGCACCGCAAAAUGUUCCUGGGUGUGACAUGGAAGUCUGGAGACAACCCCAGUGUCCACUGUGCAUCGUUCUGGAGAGAAUUCUCCCUUACCUGCAUCAAAAAAGGUCCAUGCGCCAAAAGGUGAUAUUGCCAGCUGCAAUGAUGACCUGACAGUCAAGAAAGACCCAUGUUUAGGGAGGUCAUUUGCAGACUUUAAACCGUAAGCAUUGUGCAUCUUACUUUUGUGUUGUAUAGUUAGAAGGAAAUUCUGGUCAGUUUACAAAUGUUAUGUGUAAUGGAAGGCUAAAGACUGUAUUAUUCGUAGGUUUCUGGUUUGGUUUGGGUGUGUUCACCUCUGGGCAUCGGUCAGAACGCAAUGAUGGCAAGACUUGUAGGCUUGUAGUUUCCUGAAGGAACAGACAGUAAAUAACAGGACAAUAUGUAUAGGGCUAUGGGUUGAUCAGUAGAAAGGCUACUGUACCACUGAUCCAUAACUGUGGAUGUGGAAAGGUGAUAGUGCUUCUGUGUGGUUGACCUAUAUAGGAGGAAGCAGAAUGCAGAGUGCCAGGAAUAAUAUCAGGAAUAAUAUACAGCAAUUAUACAAUGACAUUACUUGACACCAUUUACAAUAUAAACUGUAAAGGCAUCAUUUACUACACAGUUUAAUACACAUAAAGGGACUAAUCUAAAGCACCACUAGGUGGCAGUAGUAACACAUGAACGACUAGGACAUUGCUACAUAACUGAAUUGUGGAAUCUCACUGAAUCCCAGUCACACUUUGGCAAGAAAGGAGAUCCAUGAAGUGAACUGAAUCUCUAAGCCUGAAUUCUCGUCAAGUCAAGGUAAGGAUGGCUCCCCUAGGGAGCUCUACACUCACAAUUCCACUUAGUUCAGGAACUGAAUGGGAAUUCUUAUGGACAAAUCAAAUAUCUUAGUCAGCUGAAUGUAAAUCAACGGGGCAUUGCAUUUCCACAAAAUCAAGGGUGUUCCUGACAGUUGGAGAGAUCUGAGAAUCGUCCUGCAGUGACGAGGAGGACACGGAAGGAAAGGCGAGUGAAGAGGAGAAGGAGGUGCUAAGUGUGGUCACACCAUCGUGGUGUCGUAUCUUCUCGACUACCCCAACAAGAUCCUGUCGGUCCCCGCGCCAGACCUAUCUCAGCUCACACCCCCUCCCAUGAUACCUCUCAGGCUCCAUGAGUUCCAUGCCAAGCCCUGGCCAUGGUGGUGUCUCACCAAGAGGCAGACAGAGUACCCUCCAAUAUCACAACAACUCCACCCAUCAUCACAAAAGGCGGCUCCAAGCUGAGGCUGAGCCCCAUACAGGAUAACCCCGUCGCUGCAGAUGGUCCAGACAGACCUGCUGCCCCUCUUCCACCUGUACCAGCCCCUGGAGUCCAUCGUGAAAGAGACGGGGCAGCCCCUGCAGACCAGCUUCGUACCUUGGCCACCCAGCAGUCCAGACUUUAGUACGGCAGACUACCCCGACAGCUCCUGCCCUGACCUGCUGAGGCUGAUGGUGAGUCAGCUGUAGAUGUUGGGGCAGCCGGACCGGGCAUUCUCACUCAGGCCCCUGACGGACUCAUAGUGGCCUCCCCUGCUCAGGACGACAUCAUAGAAGAUCCUGCUGGAUAAAGGAGAGGACAUUGAAGCCCAGUCUGCGAAAACCCAGUCUGAGAGAACCAAAAACACAAUGAUGUUUAUCUGGACAAUAUUGCAAAACAUGUUGAUGCUCUCAGUAUCACUGAAUGUCUUACAUGUGUUGACUCACACUGCUUUUUUAAAUACAUUUCCAUGGGUGAGCUGGUUGGAUGCCACACACCACGAACUCAAGGUCAAAUGGAAGCUAUGGUCCAUGUUGUGUCUAUAACUGUUUCCACACUGACAGGAAAAGACACUGCUGUGAAGGGUCCUGCCUGACCCAAAUGCUUCAAAUGGCACAAUUACAUACGUAAGAGGCUGUCUCUUUGACAGGUGUUUAUGAAACGGAAACCAUCAGAACACUAUCCCUCACAAGAUAUACUAGUGAAAGUGAUUGUUUGAUUUCAAAUGUUUUAUCAUAAACUAAUGAUUAGUUACAUGUUGAGUACAUAUUUUGCUACCCUUUCCUGAUAUGAUUUUAUAAAUCCUGACUGGAGUCUCUAGGUUAGUCUUGUAGCUGAAUGUAUUGCUAAUAUCACCCCCAAAAACCAUGCUGUUUCAUUAUGUGUAUCUCAUUAAAC
Salvelinus namaycush (lake trout) is the source of this 2404-nucleotide long non-coding RNA. RefSeq lists it as uncharacterized. The transcript has 5 exons. The record is from RefSeq and is a predicted model, not a curated record. Lineage: Eukaryota; Metazoa; Chordata; Actinopteri; Salmoniformes; Salmonidae.